RNAcentral lists this unclassified non-coding RNA (391 nucleotides) under soil metagenome. RNAcentral's name for it is "partial contains 5.8S ribosomal RNA, internal transcribed spacer 2, and large subunit ribosomal RNA". The stretch from base 1 to 122 matches the Rfam family "5.8S ribosomal RNA", at positions 35 to 154 of the family's 154-position model. The record is from RNAcentral.
GAUGAAGAACGUAGCGAAAUGCGAUACUUGGUGUGAAUUGCAGAAUCCCGUGAACCAUCGAGUCUUUGAACGCAAGUUGUGCCCGAAGCCACUAGGCCGAGGGCACGCCUGCCUGGGCGUCACACGUCGUUGCCCCCCCAUCUACUCCUUCGGGAUUGCGGGGGGGCGGAUGAUGGCCUCCCGUGCGCCUAGCCGCGCGGUUGGCAUAAAUACCAAGUCCUCGGCGACGCACGCCACGACAAUCGGUGGUUGCGAAACCUCGGUUGCCCGUCGUGUGCGUUCGUCGCGCAUCGAGGGCUCGAAAAAAUGCUCGGCUCCGGCUGGGCUUUCAACGCGACCCCAGGUCAGGCGGGGUUACCCGCUGAAUUUAAGCAUAUCAAUAAGCGGAGGA